RNAcentral lists this microRNA (23 nucleotides) under Caenorhabditis remanei. RNAcentral's name for it is "crm-miR-1817b". Lineage: Eukaryota; Metazoa; Nematoda; Chromadorea; Rhabditida; Rhabditidae. The record is from miRBase by way of RNAcentral.
UAGCCAAUGUCACUACUGUCAUG